GAUGAACGCUGGCGGCGUGCCUAAUACAUGCAAGUCGAGCGAACGGACGAGAAGCUUGCUUCUCUGAUGUUAGCGGCGGACGGGUGAGUAACACGUGGAUAACCUACCUAUAAGACUGGGAUAACUUCGGGAAACCGGAGCUAAUACCGGAUAAUAUUUUGAACCGCAUGGUUCAAAAGUGAAAGACGGUCUUGCUGUCACUUAUAGAUGGAUCCGCGCUGCAUUAGCUAGUUGGUAAGGUAACGGCUUACCAAGGCAACGAUGCAUAGCCGACCUGAGAGGGUGAUCGGCCACACUGGAACUGAGACACGGUCCAGACUCCUACGGGAGGCAGCAGUAGGGAAUCUUCCGCCAUGGGCGAAAGCCUGACGGAGCAACGCCGCUUGAGUGAUGAAGUUCUUCGGAUCGUAAAACUCUGUUAUUAGGGAAGAACAUAUGUGUAAGUAACUGUGCACAUCUUGACGGUACCUAAUCAGAAAGCCACGGCUAACUACGUG
RNAcentral lists this ribosomal RNA (497 nucleotides) under uncultured bacterium. Its description in RNAcentral is "partial 16S ribosomal RNA". It matches the Rfam family "Bacterial small subunit ribosomal RNA", at positions 28 to 507 of the family's 1533-position model. The record is from RNAcentral.